Hypanus sabinus (Atlantic stingray) is the source of this 1197-nucleotide long non-coding RNA. RefSeq lists it as uncharacterized. NCBI's taxonomy places the organism in Eukaryota, Metazoa, Chordata, Chondrichthyes, Myliobatiformes, Dasyatidae. The transcript has 3 exons. The record is from RefSeq and is a predicted model, not a curated record.
GCAGGCCAGGCAGCAUCAAUGGAAAAGGGUACGGUUGACGUUUCAGCCCGAGACUCUUCAGCAGAUGAUCCUCUCAUUCUAAGAAUAUAGCUUGGUGAAUCUUCUUCGGACUGCCUCCAAUGUUACUAUAUCCAUCUUCAGAAAUAAAACAUACAGUAGAUUACUGAGAAGAGAAAAUCUGCAGAUGCUGGAAAUCCAAGGAGCACACACAAGAUGCUGGAGGAACUCAGCAGGCCGGGCAGCAUCUAUGGAAAAGAGCGCAGUCGAUGUUUUGGGCCGAGGCCCUUCAGUAGAUUUCCAAUCCUGCAACCCAUAUCCCGACACACAACAAAACCCUUUCACUGGCUGUCAUUUUCAAAUGUCUGUAUCGUACAUACUGUCCAUGAAGCUGAUUGCCCUACCUGCCCCUGAAGUCUGCUCCAACCAUACUGUCCUCCAAUACGCUCUGGUUUGAACCUCACCGUCAUUCAUGGUCACCAUCUUCAGUUGUCUGAACUUUGUAAGUUCCCCAAGUCCCUUCCAUCUUCUUCUUCUUCUUGGUUGCAUUGAGCGGGGUGGAGAAAGCUAGACAAGUCGAUGAGUUGAUUUGCUCAGAUUCAUCCUCAGUUCUAGCAAGUUUAAGGUCUUUUCACUCAAACACCCAAGUCCCUUCCAUCUCAAACCCUAUCCCUUGAUUCAUCCGCUAUCUGUUAGAGUGCCAAGCUUUGACAAUACACCUGUGGAAUUCUGAGGGAUGCUUAGCCCUGUUAUUGGUGAUAUAUCCACUCAAUGGUCACUUUAUUGGGUGUCUCCUGUGCGCAACAGUAAUAAAGGGAUAAAGCCACUGAGUACCCAUCCACUCCAAGCUUCGACAUAUUGUGCGCUCAGAGAUGCUCUUCUGAACACCAUGGUUAUUUGAGUUACUGUCACCUUUCUGACAGCUUGAACCAUUCUGGCCAUUUUCCUCUGACCUCGCUCAUUAACACAGUGUUUUCACCCACAGAACUGCUGCUCACUGGAUGCCUUUUGCUUCUCCAAACAUUCUCUGUAAAGUUUAGCGACUGUUGUGUAUGAAAAUCCCAGGAGAUCAGCAUUUUCUGAGAUACUCAAACCACCCCAACUGGCACCAACAGUCAAUCCAUGGUCAAAGUCACUGAGAUUGCAUUUCUUCCCCAUUCUGAUGUUUGGUCUGAACAACAGCUGAACUUCUUGACCAUG